AGAGUUCGAUCCUGGCUCAGAACGAACGCUGGCGGCGUGCUUAAUACAUGCAAGUUGUGCGAGAAAGUGUUCUUCGGAAUGCGAGUAAAGCGGCGAACGGGUGAGUAACACGUAAGGAAUCUUCCUCUAAAUUUGGGAUAACUUUGCUAACGCGAGGCUAAUACCGGAUGUGGUUCUGUUAUCACAUGAUAGUAGAAUUAAAGGUGACCUCUUCUUGAAAGUUACUGUUUAGAGAUGAUCUUGCGGACCAUUAGCUUGUUGGCGGGGUAACGGCCCACCAAGGCUAUGAUGGUUAGCCGGCCUGAGAGGGUGAACGGCCACAUUGGGACUGAGAUACGGCCCAGACUCCUACGGGAGGCAGCAGUAGGGAAUUUUGCGCAAUGGACGAAAGUCUGACGCAGCAACGCCGCGUGAGCGAUGAAGGUCUUCGGAUUGUAAAGCUCUGUUGAGUGGGAAGAAAAAUCUAGUAGCUAAUAUCUGCUAGACAUGACGGUACCACUCGAGGAAGCCCCGGCUAAAUACGUGCCAGCAGCCGCGGUAAUACGUAUGGGGCAAGCGUUGUUCGGAAUCACUGGGUGUAAAGGGAGCGUAGGCGGAAAUGUAAGUUAGAGGUGUAAUCUUUAGGCUUAACCUGAAGUUUGCCUUUAAAACUGUGUUUCUUGAGUAUUGGAGAGGAAGACGGAAUUCCAGGUGUAGCGGUGGAAUGCGUAGAUAUCUGGAAGAACACCAGUUGCGAAGGCGGUCUUCUGGCCAAAUACUGACGCUGAGGCUCGAAAGCUAAGGGAGCGAACAGGAUUAGAUACCCUGGUAGUCUUAGCCGUAAACGAUGGACACUAGAUGUUGGGAGAAUCUUUUUCUCUCAGUGUCGUAGCUAACGCGUUAAGUGUCCCACCUGGGGAGUACGCCCGCAAGGGUGAAACUCAAAGGAAUUGACGGGGGCCCGCACAAGCGGUGGAGCAUGUGCUUUAAUUCGAUGCAACGCGAAGAACCUUACCUGGACUUGACAUGGGAGUGAAAGCCUCUAGAGAUAGAGGACCUUCCUUCGGGAACACUCUGCACAGGUGCUGCAUGGUUGUCGUCAGCUCGUGUCGUGAGAUGUUGGGUUAAGUCCCGCAACGAGCGCAACCCUCGUCCUUAGUUGCCAUCAGGUUAAGCUGGGAACUCUAAGGAGACUGCCUGGUAUAACCAGGAGGAAGGUGGGGAUGACGUCAAAUCCUCAUGGCCCUUACGUCCAGGGCUAGACACGUGCUACAAUGGCCGGUACAAUAGGAUGCGAGACGGUGACGUUCAGCUAAUCCUCAAAACCGGUCUCAGUUCGGAUUGGAGUCUGCAAUUCGACUCCACGAAGUUGGAAUCGCUAGUAAUCGUGGAUCAGCAUGCCACGGUGAAUAUGUUCCCGGGCCUUGUACACACCGCCCGUCAAGCCACGAAAGAUGGUAGUGCCCGAAGUCGCUUCUCUAACCGCAAGGAGGAGGGCGCCGAAGGUAAGACUAUUAAUUGGAGCUAAGUCGUAACAAGGUA
RNAcentral lists this ribosomal RNA (1521 nucleotides) under metagenome. RNAcentral describes it as "bacterial SSU rRNA". It matches the Rfam family "Bacterial small subunit ribosomal RNA". The record is from RNAcentral.